Molecule: ribosomal RNA, 414 nt
Filed under: uncultured bacterium
Lineage: Bacteria
Description: bacterial SSU rRNA
Rfam family: Bacterial small subunit ribosomal RNA
Source: RNAcentral
AUUGAACGCUGGCGGCAUGCCUUACACAUGCAAGUCGAACGGCAGCGGACCUUCGGGUGCCGGCGAGUGGCGAACGGGUGAGUAAUAUAUCGGAACGUACCUUUCAGUGGGGGAUAACGUAGCGAAAGUUACGCUAAUACCGCAUAUUCUGUGAGCAGGAAAGCAGGGGAUCGCAAGACCUUGCGCUGAUUGAGCGGCCGAUAUCAGAUUAGCUAGUUGGUGAGGUAAAGGCUCACCAAGGCGACGAUCUGUAGCGGGUCUGAGAGGAUGAUCCGCCACACUGGAACUGAGACACGGUCCAGACUCCUACGGGAGGCAGCAGUGGGGAAUUUUGGACAAUGGGCGCAAGUCUGAUCCAGCCAUGCCGCGUGAGUGAAGAAGGCCUCGGUUGGUAAGUACGUCUUUCGGUCCGGG